Molecule: long non-coding RNA, 4312 nt
Filed under: Homo sapiens (human)
Lineage: Eukaryota; Metazoa; Chordata; Mammalia; Primates; Hominidae
Description: HSALNT0136629
Source: RNAcentral
GAAAUCAGAAAUGUUGAUCUGGUUAUGGUUUAUAUGACAGUAACACUAAUUUAAGAUGAUUUAUCUACAUAAAAAGAAUUCACUAGAUCAUGGAAAUUCAAACUAUCAUUAGACAUAUUUUAAUAAUAUUCAAUAAGAUUCAAGCAGUAGUUACUACAUGAUUAUCAAGAUUUUAUUAUCAAGCCCUCUAAAUGUUAACUUAAUUGACAGUAAUUGGAUUGAAAUCAACAGUAAAAAAAACAAUAAUGUUGACAGUUAUGCGCCAGACCCUUUUGGAGCACAACCUUAGUGCUCUGCAGGGAUGGAGACGGUUAUCUCCAUUUGCUGGUGAAGGAGAACCAAAAAAGGCAAGACUGGCAGAUUUUUCAGUGUCACAUACUGAGUAAGAGCUAAUGGGGAGAUUCUGAUGACACUGCCCAUGUUCUUUCCAAAUCAUUCAUUAAAAAAAAAAAAAAAGAAAAGAAAUAGAAACAAACCUGCUCUGAAACAUGUUUUAAGUUAAAAAAAGGAAAAUUUUUAAAAUAAGAGAAUGGAACCUGGCAAAGAGAACACAAAUGUAUUUGUUUAUGUUAUUAUUAGAUUAGUGAAUAAUAUCAUACUUUAAAUGACAUGUCAGUUAGAAAAAUCACAACAAUAUUAAACUGUGUAAAACUCUUAGCUAGAAACUAAUUUUAACUGAAAGAAAUAGCUUUAGCUUAUUUGUGUCGAUAUAUGUUUCAACAGAGUUUGAGGGAAGACAUUGAUGUGGUACAAAUACGAUUCUGAAUUCUGUCAGGAGCCUCUUAAUGGGAUUUCUGAAAGAGUGACUAUGUGUUAGCUACCUAAUAACACUGAAAAAAAUAAUUUUAUAGAUAUAUAUUUGUAAAAAAAAGUGAUUAUUGUUGUGUAAGUAAUUACAAAAAUCUCAAAAUAAAUAUGGUUAAAGCCAGAUAUAUAAAAUUAGUAACUCUAAAUUGAGGUAUAGUAAAUAAUGGGUAAUUAGCACUUCCUAAAGGUUUUUCAUAAGUUACCUGAUUAAAUUAUUAUAAUAAUCUUAUGAGAUAAGUAAUAUUUUAUUUCAAUUUUAGAAAUGAAGGAACUGAGGCAGUAAAAUAAACAGAACCUUGCCUUGGGCCUCCCAAAUCCUCCCAGUCCCACCUUUUCCUCGUGAGCCUCAGAUUCCUGUGCAGAGCUGCCUCACCAAUAUGUUGUGCCAUUUCCUAUUCCUGGAAAAGCCCUGGAGACUGCAAGGGUGGUGUCUCACUAUGUUGCCCAGACUGUUUUCUAACCCUGGCCUCAAGCAAAUUUCCCACCUCCUUCUCCCAAAAUGCUGGGAUUACAAGUGUGAGCCACUGUACCCAGCCUACUUAGGAGGACAUUUACUAUUCACUUACUGAUUUGCAUCAAAUUAUUGAUUGGUGGUGUUUCAGAAGGUGGAAGCUCUGCCAGCCCCACAUACAGCCUGAGUGAGACAUGCCAUUCAUUUGUUAAGCAGCUGAGGGUUUGUAACUGCUUGUGACUGCGGCAUGUCCAAGAAUGUUUUGUCUGAUGCACGACAAUGAGUGAAUAUAUAAUGAUUCAACAAGAGCCAUAGAGUUUUAAAAUGUGUUACAUUUUAUAGGAAAUACAGUUACUUAGACUUAUAAAAACAAGAUAUUCUCAGAAUAUUUUUCAUACUGAUUUACCUCUACUUGUCUUACUGGUGUCUAUGAGCUCAACUCAAGAUUUCCAAUCAAAUAACAACGAUAUGGAUUCACCUGGUGGCCAAGCAACAAUGUAAGAUAUUUAGAGUAGAGUCCUCAGAACAUUUUGCUGUGUUUGAAGAUGCUCAGGGUAAGUUAUAGUAUUCUGAGUUUUGUAUUUCACUACAACAAAUGCUUGUCUUUAUUUUCUUUCUUUUUUUUCAAGACGAGGACAGAAGAGAUUGAGAAUCAUGGUUAAAAGAGAAAAAACAAAACUCACUUGGGCCGUCUUUAAAUGUAUACAGAUAGGUGUUUGGUAGGCCCUAGCAUGCUUAAACUUAGGUUUCAGUAUGCAUGGGCCUUCCAGGAAACUGGCUGGGAAGACACACAAGAAAUUUAUAUCCUGUAAGGGACUGAGGCCAGAGAGAGAGGGGCUCAGCACAGCUGGUAUCAGAGCCAUGCUAUAACACUGGGUGCUGCCAAAGAAAGACACUAUGGAACAUGAUGCAAAUGCUGUUUCAUGAAGGCACACAACACCAUCUACAUGCAGGUACUAAAGCAAUGGAAACAGCACAGCACCCUCCUUCUCAGGAACCACUGCACUGAUCACUCCUUGUGCAUGACUAAGCAGCCUCACUCAGCAGGGCUUGGCAGGGGAGUCUGCCAGAUGUCGUAAAGCUCAGAAACAGAAAAAUGAUGAGAGAGGAUGGGAUGCCCAGGAACAUAGUCACUGCCCCUUGGGAGCAGGAGCACCUCGUGGAAGUGGCAGCUCUGCCCCGAGAAGUGGGCAAGUUGGAGCCUGAGUCUAGCAGGGUUUUGGGCCUUUUGCAGAGGUCUGGCCUCUACAUGCGGGUGUUGCUGAAAAGUUAGAGGAACUUUUCUGGAGUCGUGAGUGCAUGUUGGGGCAAAACUCAGUAGAAUUUGAGUGAUUAUUUCAAACACAAAUACAAUUCUACCCACAAAUAGGUGAAGCCAAGAGAAACUGGCCAUUUAUGGGUCUAUGCAACUACAUUUAACUUAUACACACAUAUAGAAUUAGUAUUGAUGUUAAGGGUAGAAAUGCUGACAGAGCGGUGACCAUGUGUAAAUUAGGAAAUAAGAAAUAUUAAGGCAUUGUUGUUUCAGAAAGUUCAAACUAUCCAUAUAAAUGAGUAAAAUCUGAUUAUCAGUUAACUAGCUGCUAUGCAAGAUGCAUAUAUUAUCAUAAAAGCAAAAUAAUAUUUCAAUGAUUUAUAAAAAUAAGAGAAACUAACACAUCUGGAUAAAGAAUCCAAUUAUGCCUAUCUAAAGCAACUAUCCCCAACAGAUCAAACUGUUUUGCAAUCUUAUCUCUCAUGACUAUGAUUGUAAUUUAUAUUAAAACAACUAUUGAGGCCAAAAAUAACUCAGAGCUAAAUUGUUCAAAUAGCUAUGUUAAAAGGCAUCUCACUUUUGUCAUUUCAGUACAAAUGGGAUUCUCAUUGGGAACAUAGAAAGUUAGUUUGCUAGGAUGACUAUUGAAACCUUAAGGUGAAAAAGCUUGCUCUUACUGAGAAAAUCCCAUCAUGAGUUGUGGGAUUCAAUUCAAACGAGACACAAAGGAUAAAGAAACACUAAGAAAAUAUGCAUAAAAAAGACAUAUAUUAAAAUGAAAAUCUGUUGAGUCAUAACUGUAACACAUCUUUAGAGGUGGCAGCUUUACAAUCAAAUAAAUAAUAUUUUGACACUUUCCAUAACAUUAUGUUUAAUCUCCUUUCAAUUACAUCCAUCUGACCGUCUUUCCAGGUACUUUGAAUCACAAUUCACGUGUCAGAACUUUAUUUUGUUCUAAAGAAUGAAUUUCAAGAAAAAAAAUCCUUAUGUUUCAUUCGUAUAUCAUGAAAUGGGCAUUCAACACUUUUCUUGAUUUGUAUGGUUAGCUGAAAUGGAUAAAUCAGACACAUAUGAUACUGGUCCAAUUAAAGUGAAUGUGCACAAACUACCUUUUAAAGUUUUGGGUAGUCAUUAUAAAUUGAUCUGGAUGUUAAAAUUCACUCAAAAAUUUCAAAGAAUUUCUUGUGAAUCAAAAAUAUCUUGAAAGUCAAAAGAUUAGGAGAAAUACAUUUACUGUGAUUUAAAAGAACACUCGAUCCAUUUUUAAAAUAUUUAGUAAUAUAUAAUUUAUUAUUUCACUCAUCUGUCUCAGUAUAAGGAAUUUGGUGACAUUUCUAUUUAUGCUUUUAGAGGAAACAUCUGAUUCUAAGGUUCAAAGCGUGAGACUGUAAGGCUUUUACAAACACAGAAAUUAAUGAGGAAGGUCACCAUGCAGUCUAUAACUAUCACAGACAUUUUUUAAUGCAACAAUUUACUGGAUUAGCUAUCAGAAAGUCAAGGAGGUGAUUCACUACCAUACAUGAAAAUAAAGUAUAAAAUACUGGUUUUGACAGUGCAACUACACUUUUAUAGCUGUUUUGUCAGUUUCUCACAAAUUUCCUCAAAUGGACAUAUCAUUACUUGAAUAGUAAUCAGCAAUUUAUUUUCAGGGGUUUUUUUGCAAUAAAAAGAAAUGCCUUCACUCAUAAAACAUAAUGAAGAGAAAGGCACUUUAUUUAAGAAUAGAGGAAUGCAUUAUGCCUCUUGAAUAUAUAGUACAUUAUUUAUAAUCUACUGCUGCAGUUACUGUUGUAUAUCCU